Molecule: non-coding RNA, 83 nt
Organism: Salmo salar (Atlantic salmon)
Lineage: Eukaryota; Metazoa; Chordata; Actinopteri; Salmoniformes; Salmonidae
Source: Rfam
ACCAGGAUGGCUGAGUGGUUUAGACAUUGGAAUAAAAAUCCAAUGAACAUUAUGUUCUCAUGGGUACCAACCCAUUCCUGGAA